GCUCAGGACGAACGCUGGCGGCGUGCCUAACACAUGCAAGUCGAACGGAGAAUUUUAUUUCGGUAGAAUUCUUAGUGGCGAACGGGUGAGUAACGCGUAGGCAACCUACCCUUUAGACGGGGACAACAUUCCGAAAGGAGUGCUAAUACCGGAUGUGAUCAUUGUGCCGCAUGGCAGGAUGAAGAAAGAUGGCCUCUACAAGUAAGCUAUCGCUAAAGGAUGGGCCUGCGUCUGAUUAGCUAGUUGGUAGUGUAACGGACUACCAAGGCGAUGAUCAGUAGCCGGUCUGAGAGGAUGAACGGCCACAUUGGGACUGAGACACGGCCCAAACUCCUACGGGAGGCAGCAGUA
Molecule: ribosomal RNA, 351 nt
Filed under: uncultured bacterium
Lineage: Bacteria
Description: bacterial SSU rRNA
Rfam family: Bacterial small subunit ribosomal RNA
Source: RNAcentral